GGGGGGUGUUGGGGAUCAGGACCCCCUAGGAUGGGGAUGUCCCUGUCACUGGGGGGUGUUGGGGAUCAGGACCCCCUAGGAUGGGGAUGUCCCUGUCACUGGCUGACACUCAGGGUGAGGAGGUACUCCUGAGGGGUUCUCAGGCUCAGGAGCCCCUGGGCUGGGAUGUCUGUGCCCCCUGUCCCCUUGGGGUGCUCGGGGUGGCUAUUCAGCCAUGGCAGAGGUUUGCGGGGGUUGGAGGGUGUCCCAGCCCCGCAGCCCCAGGGUGGGAGCUGGCACGUGCUUGGCACGGGGUGCACGGCACAGGGUGCACGGCACGGGGAGCUGGCACAGGGUGCUUGGCACAGGCUGGUACGUGACUUUGAGCAGGGCUGGAGGAGGAGGGGGAGGAAGCACAGCUGGGCCCUUCCAGCCUGAACACAGCUGGGGCUGGGGGCUGGGGUUGUCGGGGGUCCCUGUGGGACCAAACCCCGUUCCAUGCCCUCGGCUGCUGGGGCUGGGCAUGAAGGAAGGGAUGGGGAUUCUCUGGUGUCUGACAAGGGUCGUGCCCUGCUCCUGCCUUGCUUCUCUCCCUUCUCUCCUGCCCCUUCCAGGAGCUGGAUGUCCCAAGGACUUUGCCCCAUCGAUGCCAACAGCCAGGAAGGACCAGGAGGUGCUCUGGGAAGGAGCUGGCAGAGCAGCAGCCCUGGAAAGCUCCCUCCGAGCCAGCAAGGAAAGCCCAGGCUUGCCGGAACAUUUGUUCCCAGUUAGGAUGAGGCUCCGCGCCGCCCCCCCGGGCAGGGAAUGCUCCGUGCCAGGGAAAGUUUGAGCGAGAUCUGGUUAAAAACCCCCCUGGUUCCAGCUCCUGGGCGCUGCCCUCCUGCCAAGGGGAUCGAGUCUGUAAAUGAGGCGUCCCAGCUGCCCCCCAGACCUCACUGAGGGCCCGGGUUUCCUGGCAUUUCCACAUUCCUCCAGGAACAAGCGCCAUAAACUAUCCUGACGGAGAUGCAGGUGGGUAAACUGAGGCACGGCAUCUCUCUGCCGGACCAAAUUUGGCUGUGAGUGCUGUGCCGGGAGGUCGGGUCUGGCUGCUCCCACCAACCUUUCGGGGCUGGCAGAGCCCCUGGGUUCCCUCAGCCCUCGGACGGUGCCUCCACCCACCUCGGCCUGGCGGCU
RNAcentral lists this long non-coding RNA (1155 nucleotides) under Parus major (Great Tit). RNAcentral describes it as "lncRNA (ENSPMJG00000009898.1)". The record is from RNAcentral. Lineage: Eukaryota; Metazoa; Chordata; Aves; Passeriformes; Paridae.